CACUUGGUUACAUGGCACCUGAUACUUUAUUACAUUCUAGUGGCGACGGGUGAGUAACACGUUGGAACCUGCCCCAAAGUGAGGAAUAAGCCACCGAAAGGUGGUCUAAUACUUCAUAAUAUCCAUCUCGUAUGGAUUAAAGCUUUAUGCGCUUUGGGAGGGGCCUGCGUAACAUUAGCUUGUUGGUGAGGUAAAAGCUCACCAAGGCUUCGAUGUUUAACUGGUUUUGAGAGGAUGACCAGUCACACUGGGACUGAAAUACGGCCCAGACUCCUACGGGAGGCAGCAGUAAGGAAUCUUCCACAAUGGGGCAACCCUGAUGGAGCAAUACCGCGUGCAGGAUGAAGCGUUUCGGCGUGUAAACUGCUUUUAUCACCGAAGAUUAUGACUGUAGGUGAAGAAUAAGGACCGGCUAACUACGUG
RNAcentral lists this ribosomal RNA (423 nucleotides) under uncultured bacterium. Its description in RNAcentral is "bacterial SSU rRNA". It matches the Rfam family "Bacterial small subunit ribosomal RNA", at positions 65 to 507 of the family's 1533-position model. The record is from RNAcentral.